Molecule: ribosomal RNA, 496 nt
Filed under: uncultured bacterium
Lineage: Bacteria
Description: partial 16S ribosomal RNA
Rfam family: Bacterial small subunit ribosomal RNA
Source: RNAcentral
GAUGAACGCUGGCGGCGUGCCUAAUACAUGCAAGUCGAGCGAACAGACUAGGAGCUUGCUCCUCUGACGUUAGCGGCGGACGGGUGAGUAACACGUGUAUAACCUACCUAUAAGACUGGGAUAACUUCGGGAAACCGGAGCUAAUACCGGAUAAUAUAUUGAACCGCAUGGUUCAAUAGUGAAAUACGGUUUUGCUGUCACUUAUAGAUGGAUCCGCGCUUCAUUAGCUAGUUGGUAGGGUAACGGCUUACCAAGGCAACGAUGCGUAGCCGACCUGAGGGGGGGUAGGGCCACACAGAAGCUGAGAGACGACCCAGAGACUUAGGGGAGGCCGAGGUGGGGAAGGGACGGAACUGGGGGAAAGACUGAAGAAGCAACGCAGGGUGGGUGAAGAAGGUCUUCGGACGGUAAAACGCUGUUAUUGGGGAAAAACGAUUUUGAAGGUAACGAAGCACGAGUGAAGGGAACCUAUAAAGAAGGACCGGGCAAAUAAGGG